UAGCUAGCGGCGGAGGCGCUCCCAUCGCGGAUGCUUACACGAUCAACGGCCACCCCGGCCCCAACUAUAACUGCUCCGUCAACGGUAAGCCUCAAGUCUAGUAAUAAGGAUAAAAAUAGUUACAUGAGAUGUAAGAAAAAGGUAAAUUAAGCAGAAACGUUCCUUAGAUGUGUACAGGAUGAACGUGGUACCCGGGAAGACCUACCUGCUGAGGUUGAUCAACGCGGGAUUGAACACAGAAAACUUCUUUGCAAUUGCUAAUCACAAGCUCACCAUAGUCGAAGCAGAUGCAGAGUACACAAAGGCGCUCCACACCGACAAGGUGAUGCUCGCGCCGGGCCAGACCCUCAACGUCCUCGUCACAGCAGAUCAGCCCAUAAGUAGAUACUCCAUGGCUGUCGGGCCAUACAUGUCUGCAAGAAACGUACCGUUUCAGAACAUAACCUCAGUAGGAUAUUUUCAGUACCUAGGUGCAACACCAAACAGCAUAUCUUUACCAGCCAUGCUACCUAGUUUCAACGACAAUCUUGCCGUUAAAACUGUAAUGGACGGGCUCCGGGGCCUCAACACCUCGGAUGUUCCUAAAGUAAUUGACAAGAACUUGUUUGUCACCAUAGGUGUGAAUGUGAAUAA
Molecule: long non-coding RNA, 633 nt
Filed under: Salvia miltiorrhiza (redroot sage)
Lineage: Eukaryota; Viridiplantae; Streptophyta; Magnoliopsida; Lamiales; Lamiaceae
Description: long non-coding RNA (SMIL_LNC001859)
Source: RNAcentral